AUUCUGUUACUGGCAGAUACCAUCGUACUGUAUCAUCUUUUGUUGUUGAUCCUAAUCAUGUGUUCCUGAUAAUAGUGGGAGGUGAUAUAGAGACUGAACAGGAAGAUAUAGGAGGAGAAGUAAUGAAAUGGGUUGAUGCACCUGUCACUGGUCCUAAUAUCACAAUAGUAGUAGAACUAGUUUUUAAUGAUGGUCAAUGGUCAGUGUGUCUAGUAUUAGAUUCAUUUAAUAUUCCUUUAUUGUAUGAACUAAUACUAAAAGAAA
Molecule: long non-coding RNA, 264 nt
Organism: Amphimedon queenslandica
Lineage: Eukaryota; Metazoa; Porifera; Demospongiae; Haplosclerida; Niphatidae
Exons: 2
Source: RefSeq, a predicted model, not a curated record